CUACGGGGUGCUCCAGUGGGGAAUAUUGCACAAUGGGGGGAACCCUGAUGCAGCAACGCCGCGUGGAGGAUGACACAUUUCGGUGCGUAAACUCCUUUUAUAUAAGAAGAUAAUGACGGUAUUAUAUGAAUAAGCACCGGCUAACUCCGUGCCAGCAGCCGCGGUAAUACGGGGGGUGCAAGCGUUACUCGGAAUCACUGGGCGUAAAGAGCAUGUAGGCGGGUAGAAAAGUUGGAAGUGAAAUCCUAUGGCUUAACCAUAGAACUGCUUCCAAAACUCUUUACCUAGAAUAUGGGAGAGGUAGAUGGAAUUUCUGGUGUAGGGGUAAAAUCCGUAGAGAUCAGAAGGAAUACCGAUUGCGAAGGCGAUCUACUGGAACAUUAUUGACGCUCAGAUGCGAAAGCGUGGGGAGCAAACAGGAUUAGAUACCCCAGUAGUC
This 439-nucleotide ribosomal RNA is filed under the name uncultured bacterium. RNAcentral's name for it is "partial 16S ribosomal RNA". It matches the Rfam family "Bacterial small subunit ribosomal RNA", at positions 339 to 795 of the family's 1533-position model. The record is from RNAcentral.